RNAcentral lists this unclassified non-coding RNA (365 nucleotides) under uncultured fungus. Its description in RNAcentral is "partial contains 5.8S ribosomal RNA, internal transcribed spacer 2, and large subunit ribosomal RNA". Lineage: Eukaryota; Fungi. The record is from RNAcentral.
AACGCAUAUUGCACUCUUUUGGUAUUCCAAAGAGUAUGCUUGUUUGAGUAUCAGUAAAAACCUCUCAAGCAAAAAAAAUUUUUUUUUUUUUUGCUUGGACUUGAGCCGUAACUGAAACAAAUUGGUUAAUACCAAUUUUUCCAGCAGCUUCAAAUACAGGUGCAGACAAUUCAGAAAAUUUGUUUUCUGUGAUACAAAGCAUAUUUAUUUAAUCCUUUAUUGGAUUAUUAUUUUUGCUUUCGCGUUACAAAAAAUAAUCUGAUUUUGGACUGACUGAUAACAGGAAUUUCUAGCAAAAAAUCAUUCAAUGUUUUUUUUCUAGACUUUUUGAUCUCAAAUCAAGUAAGACUACCCGCUGAACUUAA